GUCUACAGCCAUACCAGCUUGAAUGUGCCCAAUCCUUGUCUGGCCUCAGAAGCGAAGCAGGGAUGGUCCUGAUUAGUGCUUUGUAAGAAGGAUAAGACAUCAGUUUGAAAAGAGCCCCUAUCAGAGCAGUAUAAA
Molecule: ribosomal RNA, 135 nt
Filed under: Pan troglodytes (chimpanzee)
Lineage: Eukaryota; Metazoa; Chordata; Mammalia; Primates; Hominidae
Source: RNAcentral